This is a non-coding RNA of Macaca mulatta (Rhesus monkey), 3213 nucleotides long. NCBI's taxonomy places the organism in Eukaryota, Metazoa, Chordata, Mammalia, Primates, Cercopithecidae. The record is from RefSeq and is a predicted model, not a curated record.
GCCACAGACUGAAGGUUGCACUGUUGGCUUCCCUACUUUUGAGGUUUCUCUACUUCUCAGCUUGCAGAUGAUCUAUUGUGGAACUUCAUCUUGUGAUUGUAACUCUUUUUGCCCAACAGAAUGUGGACAGCAGAACUGUUCCAUACGUGGCGAGGAAGGCACACCUGGAAGGUAGUGAUGCUGGCGCAGUGGGAAAUGCAUCAGUGUGUACAAUUCUUCUCUGGUCUUUGUAAAUAGAAAUGCUCACUUUCUAUGUGAAACACCUAAAUCAUUCGAUGUGAAAUUCAGAAUAAAUUUAAAGGUAGAACAAGCAAAUAGCUAAACAAAGGAGUGUUUCAGAAAGGAAAUAUAUCAAGCUUUGGCUCAAAAGCAAAACAAUCUUUUCAUGAAGGGACGUGUUCACAGCCUCUAUUAAAUGCAUACUCAAUCACAAAAAUAAAGCCCAUCUGUUUAAUAUUAGCUUUUGUAAUAAACAUUUUAAAGAAAGGGAUGUAGAAGGCAAAUAUGUAUUGUAAAACAAAAUGUGUACUCUUGGGAUAAGUAAAACUUCCUCUGAAAGAACUCCAAAGCUUGUUCUUUAUACCAAAAGCAAUAACAAUUAGUUGCAUGACACCACAAUAGCAGAGGCAUAUUCUACCCUUUGAGAGGAAAGGAUAUUAAGCUGAAAAUUGAGCAUAUGAUCCCAUAGUAUAGAAUGCCAAACUUCCUUGGAUGCAACUUACCAAAGCAAAAUUAUAUAGCUGAAGUGUAUCCUAAAAUUUAGAGACAGAAAUGAUAUGUUUUAAAAUCAUGACUUAGAUAUACUAAAGUUUCUGGCUACAUUAAGAAGUUAAUUGUCAUGUACUUCGAUACAGAAUCAAGAUGUACUAAUUUUUAUUGGUACACUGGCGUUAAGUGAAUGUAUAGCAUAUGUUUAAAAGGAUGUAUCUGAGAAAACAAGGUUGAGGGGAAUAGAAUACUGAAGUCUAAACUGAGGGUCGUUUCAAUAUUUUAUUAGCCAUUUUAUGCAUAUGAACACAGACCAUAUUAGAUAUUUAGCAAGCAGGUGGAAAAAACCUGUUUCUGUCAGGGAAAGAAUUACCUCUAUUGAGAAACACAUGUGAAUAGGUCUGUCUAGUUUGGAAGAAGUUGCCUCUCUUGGUCAACAUUGGAUGGUAGGGAGCUGUUCUAUCCAAUGUAACAAGCACUGGCCACAUAGAGCUAUUGAAAUGUACAUGGUAAAUUAAUUAAAAUCUAAUGUCACAUUUAAUUCAUUAAGUGCUUAAUAGCCAUAUAUGAUUAGUGGCUACCAUAUUAUGUAGUGCAGAUUACAGAACAUUUCCAUCAUCAUAGAAAGUUCUGUUGUAUAGGACUGGUCUGGGUAAAGUUUGAGAGACAGAGAAAGUACUCCACGGGAAUCUUGGACUUAGAGGUGAGUAAAACUUUCACAAAGUGGCAAGGGGAUCUGAACAGAGAGGUGAAAAUUGCAGUGUGGUGAGAAGCUAGAAUCUUGUUAGAAAAGAGGGACUGUUGACUACAGAAAUGUCUGAAGUGUUUUUUCAAAAACGAAUACCUAAUAUUCAAUGCUCCACCUCCUCCCAAUGAUACCUUUUGUUACAAAUCUUCAGGAAACCUAGAAUGGAACAACACAGCAAGGGCUGCUGCCUGGGCAUUAGAAAUAGAACACCACACCCAAUGGCUAAAGCUGGUGGCCAGAGAUAAGAACUUAGAGGCAUCUCUCCUGCCUACCAGACUGGGCCCCCUGUUUUCCCGCCACUUCCUUUAAAUAAACGACUCAGGCAUUUGCCCAUGAACUUAAAGUGACCCAUAUUCUGCUAGCUGCCACUCUCUCUUUCUCUCUGCCUGACCUUUCAUUCCUGCCUCACGUGAUCGAGAGCUGCCCUCCAGAUUCAUGGCACCCUCCCUGCCCAAGGUGCUUGCCAGAAUAAAGGCUGCCAAGAGUGAACAUUCAGCAAGCCAUGGGCAACAGUGUGCUGGAAUGGAAAAUACUGGUUAGUAUGGAAAGUUGAUGAAUUGGUCAUAAAGUAAUAGAGUUUAUUACAAAACCAUUCCCAGCAAAUUCAUAUUGCAUUACACAGCAAUUUUUUACAAAGUUCACCAGAAGCAUCCUUUAUCAAUGAAGUCAAUCAGUUUUCAUGUGCUGCUUUGUAGUGCUCAGUAAGGCACUCUCUAAUAUGAUUUGUUAUUUUUGUCUUCAUACAGGUUGAGCAUCCCUUAUCUGAAAAUCCAAAAUCCAAAACUGUUUGAGCACUGACAUGACUUCUCAAGUAGAAAAUUUCACACAUAAGUAUUUAAUACAAACUUUGUUUCAUGAACCACAUUAUUUAAAUAAUGUGUAAAACUACAAUAGAUCAGGCUAUGUAUAUAAUAAAGGGUGUAUAAAUUUCAUAAUAAAUAUGAAAUAAAUUUCAUAAAUGAAUAACGUAAAUAACAAAUGAAUUUAAUGUUAAGAGGGGUCCCAUCCUCAAGAUAUCUUAUUAUAUAUAUGCAAAUAUUCCAAAAUCUGAAGAAACUUGAAAUCUGAAACACUUCUGUUCCUAAGCAUUUUGAAUAAGAGAUAUUCAGCCUGUAAUCUAUUUAUUUCCUACCUGGUCCUCUAGCUUUGAGAUAUUGAGUAAGUCCUGGGUUUUUAAUGUACAUAGGAAGCUCUUACCUUGGCAUUUUAGUUAGUUCUAUUCUGCUUUUCUGCAAUUAUUCCUUAUUUUCUUGCCACUGUUUUGCCUACUUUUUAUCAAUUCCCAAGAUCAGUUCUAUACCAUGUUUUAAAUAAGCAAAUUUUCAAAUUGUUUACCAAUCAAUAAAGCCAGGACAGGGACACUGUGAUGGUUAAUUUUAUGUGUCAACUUGACUGGGCCAUGACAUGCCCAGAUAUUUUGUUAAACAUUUUGUCUGAGUGAGAGUUUCAAGAAAAGAUUACCAUUUGGAUCAGACUAAGUAAAGCAGAUUUCCCAUCCUAGGAUGGGUUGGCCUCAUCUAAUCCGUUGGAGGCUUGAAUAGAACAACAGGUCUCCAGUAAGGAAGAGUUUGCUAGCUCAACCUAAGGAAGAGUUUGCUAGCUCAACCUGUUUUCAAGCUGGGGCAUCAGUCUUCUCCUGCACUCAGACUGGAACUUAUAUGAUUGUUUCUCCCAUUUUUUAGGGCUUCAGACUUGGACUGGAGCUACACCCCCACCUCUCCUGGGUCUCCAGCUUGCAGAAGAAAGAUUGCAGGACU